This 433-nucleotide ribosomal RNA is filed under the name uncultured bacterium. Its description in RNAcentral is "partial 16S ribosomal RNA". It matches the Rfam family "Bacterial small subunit ribosomal RNA", at positions 29 to 507 of the family's 1533-position model. The record is from RNAcentral.
AACGAACGCUGGCGGCAUGCCUAACACAUGCAAGUCGAACGAGACCUUCGGGUCUAGUGGCGCACGGGUGCGUAACGCGUGGGAACCUGCCUUUAGGUUCGGAAUAACUCAGAGAAAUUUGAGCUAAUACCGGAUGAUGUCUUCGGACCAAAGAUUUAUCGCCUUUAGAUGGGCCCGCGUUGGAUUAGCUAGUUGGUGGGGUAAAGGCCUACCAAGGCGACGAUCCAUAGCUGGUCUGAGAGGAUGAUCAGCCACACUGGGACUGAGACACGGCCCAGACUCCUACGGGAGGCAGCAGUGGGGAAUAUUGGACAAGGGGCGAAAGCCUGAUCCAGCAAUGCCGCGUGAGUGAUGAAGGCCUUAGGGUUGUAAAGCUCUUUGACCCGAGAUGAUAAUGACAGUAUCGGGAGAAUAAGCUCCGGCUAACUCCGUG